UACGGAGGGUGCGAGCGUUAAUCGGAAUUACUGGGCGUAAAGCGUGCGCAGGCGGUUUGUUAAGCGAGAUGUGAAAGCCCCAGGCUCAACCUGGGAAUUGCAUUUCGAACUGGCAAGCUAGAGUCUUGUAGAGGGGGUAGAAUUUCAGGUGUAGCGGUGAAAUGCGUAGAGAUCUGAAGGAAUACCGGUGGCGAAGGCGGCCCCCUGGACAAAGACUGACGCUCAUGCACGAAAGCGUGGGGAGCAAACAGG
This 252-nucleotide ribosomal RNA is filed under the name uncultured bacterium. RNAcentral's name for it is "partial 16S ribosomal RNA". It matches the Rfam family "Bacterial small subunit ribosomal RNA", at positions 524 to 776 of the family's 1533-position model. The record is from RNAcentral.